GAUGAACGCUGGCGGCGUGCCUAAUACAUGCAAGUCGAGCGAACAGACGAGGAGCUUGCUCCUCUGACGUUAGCGGCGGACGGGUGAGUAACACGUGGAUAACCUACCUAUAAGACUGGGAUAACUUCGGGAAACCGGAGCUAAUACCGGAUAAUAUAUUGAACCGCAUGGUUCAAUAGUGAAAGACGGUUUUGCUGUCACUUAUAGCUGGAUCCGCGCCGCAUUAGCUAGUUGGUAAGGUAACGGCUUACCAAGGCGACGAUGCGUAGCCGACCUGAGAGGGUGAUAGGCCACACUGGAACUGAGACACGGUCCAGACUCCUACGGGAGGCAGCAGUAGGGAAUCUUCCGCAAAGGGCGAAAGCCUGACGGAGCAACGCCGCGUGAGUGAUGAAGGUCUUCGGAUCGUAAAACUCUGUUAUUAGGGAAGAACAAAUGUGUAAGUAACUAUGCACGUCUUGACGGUACCUAAUCAGAAAGCCACGGCUAACUACGUG
This 497-nucleotide ribosomal RNA is filed under the name uncultured bacterium. RNAcentral describes it as "partial 16S ribosomal RNA". It matches the Rfam family "Bacterial small subunit ribosomal RNA", at positions 28 to 507 of the family's 1533-position model. The record is from RNAcentral.